CCUACGGGAGGCUGCAGUGGGGAAUCUUGCACAAUGGGGGAAACCCUGAUGCAGCGACGCCGCGUGAGUGAAGAAGUAAUUCGUUAUGUAAAGCUCUAUCAGCAGGGAAGAAAAUGACGGUACCUGAGUAAGAAGCAUCGGCUAACUACGUGCCAGCAGCCGCGGUAAUACGUAGGGGGCAAGCGUUUACCGGAUUUACUGGGUGUAAAGGGAACGUAGACGGCCGUGCAAGUAUGGAGUGAAAGGCGGGGGCUCAACCCCCGGACUGCUGUGGAAACUGUACGGCUGGAGUGCAGGAGAGGUAAGUGGAAUUCCUAGUGUAGCGGUGAAAUGCGUAGAUAUUAGGAGGAACACCAGUGGCGAAGGCGGUCUGCUGGACAGCAACUGACGGUGAGGCGCGAAAGCGUGGGGAGCAAACAGGAUUAGAUACCCGGGUAGUC
Molecule: ribosomal RNA, 440 nt
Filed under: uncultured bacterium
Lineage: Bacteria
Description: partial 16S ribosomal RNA
Rfam family: Bacterial small subunit ribosomal RNA
Source: RNAcentral